Molecule: ribosomal RNA, 247 nt
Filed under: uncultured bacterium
Lineage: Bacteria
Description: partial 16S ribosomal RNA
Rfam family: Bacterial small subunit ribosomal RNA
Source: RNAcentral
GAUCAUGGCUCAGAGCGAACGCUGGCGGCAGGCUUAACACAUGCAAGUCGAGCGCCCCCGCAAGGGGAGCGGCAGACGGGUGAGUAACGCGUGGGAACGUACCUUUUGGUUCGGAACAACACAGGGAAACUUGUGCUAAUACCGGAUAAGCCCUUACGGGGAAAGAUUUAUCGCCGAAAGAUCGGCCCGCGUCUGAUUAGCUUGUUGGUGAGGUAACGGCUCACCAAGGCGACGAUCAGUAGCUGGU